Molecule: ribosomal RNA, 429 nt
Filed under: Bacillota bacterium
Lineage: Bacteria; Bacillati; Bacillota
Description: Firmicutes bacterium partial 16S ribosomal RNA
Rfam family: Bacterial small subunit ribosomal RNA
Source: RNAcentral
UGGGGAAUUUUGGACAAUGGGCGAAAGCCUGAUCCAGCAAUGCCGCGUGUGUGAAGAAGGCCUUCGGGUUGUAAAGCACUUUUGUCCGGAAAGAAAUGGCUCUGGUUAAUACCUGGGGUCGAUGACGGUACCGGAAGAAUAAGGACCGGCCAACUACGUGCCAGCAGCCGCGGUAAUACGUAGGGUCCAAGCGUUAAUCGGAAUUACUGGGCGUAAAGCGUGCGCAGGCGGUUGUGCAAGACCGAUGUGAAAUCCCCGAGCUUAACUUGGGAAUUGCAUUGGUGACUGCAAGGCUAGAGGGUGUCAGAGGGGGGUAGAAUUCCACGUGUAGCAGUGAAAUGCGUAGGGAUGUGGAGGAAUACCGAUGGCGAAGGCAGCCCCCUAGGAUAACACUGACGAUCAUGCACGAAGGCGUGGGGAGCAAACAGG